UAAUACCUGCAGCUCGAGUGGUGAUCACUAUUAUUGGGCCUAAAACGUCCGUAGCCGGUCUUAUAAAUGCCUGGGUAAAUCGUGCCGCUUAACGGUACGAAUUCCGGGUAGACUGUAAGACUUGAGACCGGGUGAGGCUAGAGGUACUCCUGGGGUAGAGGUGAAAUUCUGUAAUCCUAGGGGGACCACCAGUGGCGAAGGCGUCUAGCUAGAACGGGUCUGACGGUGAGGGACGAAGCCCUGGGGCGCAAACCGGAUUAGAUACCCGGGUAGUCCAGGGUGUAAACGCUGCUUGCUUGAUGUUAGUCGGGCUCCGAGCCCGAUUAGUGUCGGAGUGAAGAUGUUAAGCAAGCUGCCUGGGAAGUACGGUCGCAAGGCUG
This 380-nucleotide ribosomal RNA is filed under the name uncultured archaeon. Its description in RNAcentral is "bacterial SSU rRNA". It matches the Rfam family "Archaeal small subunit ribosomal RNA", at positions 471 to 851 of the family's 1478-position model. The record is from RNAcentral.